Molecule: ribosomal RNA, 497 nt
Filed under: uncultured bacterium
Lineage: Bacteria
Description: partial 16S ribosomal RNA
Rfam family: Bacterial small subunit ribosomal RNA
Source: RNAcentral
GAUGAACGCUGGCGGCGUGCCUAAUACAUGCAAGUCGAGCGAACGGACGAGAAGCUUGCUUCUCUGAUGUUAGCGGCGGACGGGUGAGUAACACGUGGAUAACCUACCUAUAAGACUGGGAUAACUUCGGAAAACCGUAGCUAAUACCGGAUAAUAUUUUGAACCGCAUGGUUCAAAAGUGAAAGACGGUCUUGCUGUCACUUAUAGAUGGAUCCGCGCUGCAUUAGCUAGUUGGUAAGGUAACGGCUUACCAAGGCAACGAUGCAUAGCCGACCUGAGAGGGUGAUCGGCCACACUGGAACUGAGACACGGUCCAGACUCCUACGGGAGGCAGCAGUAGGGAAUCUUCCGCAAUGGGCGAAAGCCUGACGGAGCAACGCCGCGUGAGUGAUGAAGGUCUUCGGAUCGUAAAACUCUGUUAUUAGGGAAGAACAUAUGUGUAAGUAACUGUGCACAUCUUGACGGUAGCUAAUCAGAAAGCCACGGCUAACUACGUG